Molecule: ribosomal RNA, 1632 nt
Filed under: Salmonella enterica
Lineage: Bacteria; Pseudomonadati; Pseudomonadota; Gammaproteobacteria; Enterobacterales; Enterobacteriaceae
Description: partial 23S ribosomal RNA
Rfam family: Bacterial large subunit ribosomal RNA
Source: RNAcentral
AUGCACCGAAGCUGCGGCAGCGACACUAUGUGUUGUUGGGUAGGGGAGCGUUCUGUAAGCCUGUGAAGGUGUGUCGUGAGGCAUGCUGGAGGUAUCAGAAGUGCGAAUGCUGACAUAAGUAACGAUAAAGCGGGUGAAAAGCCCGCUCGCCGGAAGACCAAGGGUUCCUGUCCAACGUUAAUCGGGGCAGGGUGAGUCGACCCCUAAGGCGAGGCCGAAAGGCGUAGUCGAUGGGAAACGGGUUAAUAUUCCCGUACUUGGUGUUACUGCGAAGGGGGGACGGAGAAGGCUAUGUUGGCCGGGCGACGGUUGUCCCGGUUUAAGCGUGUAGGUGUGUGUUCCAGGUAAAUCCGGUUCACUUUAACACUGAGGCGUGACGACGAGGCACUACGGUGCUGAAGCAACAAAUGCCCUGCUUCCAGGAAAAGCCUCUAAGCAUCAGGUAACAUCAAAUCGUACCCCAAACCGACACAGGUGGUCAGGUAGAGAAUACCAAGGCGCUUGAGAGAACUCGGGUGAAGGAACUAGGCAAAAUGGUGCCGUAACUUCGGGAGAAGGCACGCUGACACGUAGGUGAAGUGAUUUACUCAUGGAGCUGAAGUCAGUCGAAGAUACCAGCUGGCUGCAACUGUUUAUUAAAAACACAGCACUGUGCAAACACGAAAGUGGACGUAUACGGUGUGACGCCUGCCCGGUGCCGGAAGGUUAAUUGAUGGGGUCAGCGCAAGCGAAGCUCCUGAUCGAAGCCCCGGUAAACGGCGGCCGUAACUAUAACGGUCCUAAGGUAGCGAAAUUCCUUGUCGGGUAAGUUCCGACCUGCACGAAUGGCGUAAUGAUGGCCAGGCUGUCUCCACCCGAGACUCAGUGAAAUUGAACUCGCUGUGAAGAUGCAGUGUACCCGCGGCAAGACGGAAAGACCCCGUGAACCUUUACUAUAGCUUGACACUGAACAUUGAGCCUUGAUGUGUAGGAUAGGUGGGAGGCUUUGAAGUGUGGACGCCAGUCUGCAUGGAGCCGACCUUGAAAUACCACCCUUUAAUGUUUGAUGUUCUAACGUGGACCCGUGAUCCGGGUUGCGGACAGUGUCUGGUGGGUAGUUUGACUGGGGCGGUCUCCUCCUAAAGAGUAACGGAGGAGCACGAAGGUUGGCUAAUCCUGGUCGGACAUCAGGAGGUUAGUGCAAUGGCAUAAGCCAGCUUGACUGCGAGCGUGACGGCGCGAGCAGGUGCGAAAGCAGGUCAUAGUGAUCCGGUGGUUCUGAAUGGAAGGGCCAUCGCUCAACGGAUAAAAGGUACUCCGGGGAUAACAGGCUGAUACCGCCCAAGAGUUCAUAUCGACGGCGGUGUUUGGCACCUCGAUGUCGGCUCAUCACAUCCUGGGGCUGAAGUAGGUCCCAAGGGUAUGGCUGUUCGCCAUUUAAAGUGGUACGCGAGCUGGGUUUAGAACGUCGUGAGACAGUUCGGUCCCUAUCUGCCGUGGGCGCUGGAGAACUGAGGGGGGCUGCUCCUAGUACGAGAGGACCGGAGUGGACGCAUCACUGGUGUUCGGGUUGUCAUGCCAAUGGCACUGCCCGGUAGCUAAAUGCGGAAGAGAUAAGUGCUGAAAGCAUCUAAGCACGAAACUUGCCCCGAG